Molecule: ribosomal RNA, 253 nt
Filed under: uncultured bacterium
Lineage: Bacteria
Description: partial 16S ribosomal RNA
Rfam family: Bacterial small subunit ribosomal RNA
Source: RNAcentral
UACGUAGGGGGCAAGCGUUGUCCGGAUUUAUUGGGCGUAAAGAGCGUGUAGGCGGCUUUACAGGUCCGUUGUGAAAACUCGAGGCUCAACCUCGAGACGCCGGUGGAAACCGUAAAGCUAGAGUCCGGAAGAGGAGAGUGGAAUUCCUGGUGUAGCGGUGAAAUGCGCAGAUAUCAGGAAGAACACCCGUGGCGAAGGCGGCUCUCGGGGACGGUACUGACGCUGAGACGCGAAAGCGUGGGGAGCGAACAGG